AACUCCUACCAUCAUGGCCGACACCUGCUCCUGCCAGACCAACUGCGCGUAAGUCUUCAAACAACUGCCCUUAUGAUGAUGUUUCAUGGGGUUGUUGACACAACGUGAACAGAACUUGCGGACCGAAGAGCGCAGAAUGUGUUUGUGAUCAGGGGAAGUGCGUCUGCAAGGAGUGUCCGAAGAACCCGGCGCAUGCGCAGAAGAGCACAGUGAGUGUCACUUGCGUCGCUUCUGCAAUCCUCGACGAUGUUCACGCGGUUGUGUUUGUUAGUGUGGCUGCGACCAUUCAAAGUCGGCCGACUGCGCUUGCACCAGGGCCGGGGGCCAGUGCACUUGCGAGCAGUGAACGCGGAUGCAGUUUCAAUGUUGGAUAUCGAAGAAUCAGAGCGCAAGGGGUU
RNAcentral lists this long non-coding RNA (398 nucleotides) under Ganoderma lucidum. Its description in RNAcentral is "long non-coding RNA (GLUC_LNC000009)". Lineage: Eukaryota; Fungi; Basidiomycota; Agaricomycetes; Polyporales; Polyporaceae. The record is from RNAcentral.